This 1387-nucleotide ribosomal RNA is filed under the name uncultured bacterium. Its description in RNAcentral is "16S ribosomal RNA". It matches the Rfam family "Bacterial small subunit ribosomal RNA". The record is from RNAcentral.
UUUGUAACAAUGGCUUUAGUGGCGGACUGGUGAGUAACGCGUAAGCAAUCUACCUAUUAGAGGGGAAUAACAAUGAGAAAUCAUUGCUAAUACCGCAUAUGCCAUAAUGAAGACAUCUUCAUAGUGGGAAAGGAGCAAUCCGCUAAUAGAUGAGCUUGCGUCUGAUUAGUUAGUUGGUGGGGUAAUGGCCUACCAAGACGACGAUCAGUAGCCGGACUGAGAGGUUGAACGGCCACAUUGGGACUGAGAUACGGCCCAGACUCCUACGGGAGGCAGCAGUCGGGAAUAUUGCACAAUGGGGGAAACCCUGAUGCAGCGACGCCGCGUGGAGGAAGAAGGUCUUCGGAUUGUAAACUCCUGUUGUUGGGGAAAAGAAGGAUGGUACCCAACAAGGAAGUGACGGCUAACUACGCCGCGGAGCCGCGGUAAAACGUAGGUCACGAGCGUUGUCCGGAAUUACUGGGUGUAAAGGGAGCGCAGGCGGGUAUGCAAGUUGGGAGUGAAAUGCAUGGGCUCAACCCAUGAACUGCUCUCAAAACUGUGUAUCUUGAGUAGUGCAGAGGUAGGCGGAAUUCCCGGUGUAGCGGUGGAAUGCGUAGAUAUCGGGAGGAACACCAGUGGCGAAGGCGGCCUACUGGGCACCAACUGACGCUGAGGCUCGAAAGUGUGGGUAGCAAACAGGAUUAGAUACCCUGGUAGUCCACACCGUAAACGAUGAUUACUAGGUGUUGGAGGAUAGACCCCUUCAGUGCCGCAGUUAACACAAUAAGUAAUCCACCUGGGGAGUACGACCGCAAGGUUGAAACUCAAAGGAAUUGACGGGGGCCCGCACAAGCAGUGGAGUAUGUGGUUUAAUUCGACGCAACGCGAAGAACCUUACCAGGGCUUGACAUAUACAUGAAAGUCUAAGAGAUUAGACCCCUCUUCGGAGCGUGUAUACAGGUGGUGCAUGGUUGUCGUCAGCUCGUGUCGUGAGAUGUUGGGUUAAGUCCCGCAACGAGCGCAACCCCUGUUCUUAGUUGCCAGCACGUCAAGGUGGGAACUCUAAGAAGACUGCCGGUGAUAAAUCGGAGAAAGGUGGGGACGACGUCAAAUCAUCAUGCCCUUUAUGUCCUGGGCUACACACGUACUACAAUGGCGUUCAACAAAGAGAAGCGAACCUGCGAGGGGGAGCGAAACUCAAAAAAGUAGUCUCAGUUCGGAUUGAAGGCUGAAAUUCGCCUUUAUGAAGCCGGAAUUGCUAGUAAUGGCAGGUCAGCAUACUGCCGUGAAUACGUUCCCGGGCCUUGUACACACCGCCCGUCACACCAUGAGAGUUGGGAAUACCCGAAGCCUGUAAGCUAACGCAAGAGGCAGCAGUCGAAGGUAGAAUCAAUGAUUGGGGUGA